GAUGAACGCUGGCGGCGUGCCUAAUACAUGCAAGUCGAGCGAACAGACGAGGAGCUUGCUCCUCUGACGUUAGCGGCGGACGGGUGAGUAACACGUGGAUAACCUACCUAUAAGACUGGGAUAACUUCGGGAAACCGGAGCUAAUACCGGAUAAUAUAUUGAACCGCAUGGUUCAAUAGUGAAAGACGGUGUUGCUGUCACUUAUAGAUGGAUCCGCGCCGCAUUAGCUAGUUGGUAAGGUAAUGGCUUACCAAGGCAACGAUGCGUAGCCGACCUGAGAGGGUGAUCGGCCACACUGGAACUGAGACACGGUCCAGACUCCUACGGGAGGCAGCAGUAGGGAAUCUUCCGCAAUGGGCGAAAGCUUGACGGAGCAACGCCGCGUGAGUGAUGAAGGUCUUCGGAUCGUAAAACUCUGUUAUUAGGGAAGAACAAAUGUGUAAGUAACUAUGCACGUCUUGACGGUACCUAAUCAGAAAGCCACGGCUAACUACGUG
This 497-nucleotide ribosomal RNA is filed under the name uncultured bacterium. Its description in RNAcentral is "partial 16S ribosomal RNA". It matches the Rfam family "Bacterial small subunit ribosomal RNA", at positions 28 to 507 of the family's 1533-position model. The record is from RNAcentral.